Molecule: ribosomal RNA, 308 nt
Filed under: uncultured bacterium
Lineage: Bacteria
Description: partial 16S ribosomal RNA
Rfam family: Bacterial small subunit ribosomal RNA
Source: RNAcentral
GAGACAGCAGCAGCCACGGGAAUACAGAGGGUGCGAGCGUUAAUCGGAUUUACUGGGCGUAAAGCGUGCGUAGGCGGCUUCUUAAGUCGGAUGUGAAAUCCCUGAGCUUAACUUAGGAAUUGCAUUCGAUACUGGGAAGCUAGAGUAUGGGAGAGGAUGGUAGAAUUCCAGGUGUAGCGGUGAAAUGCGUAGAGAUCUGGAGGAAUACCGAUGGCGAAGGCAGCCAUCUGGCCUAAUACUGACGCUGAGGUACGAAAGCAUGGGGAGCAAACAGGAUUAGAUACCCCUGUAGUCCCUGUCUCUUAUAC